CGUCUGUCUUUACGUUCUGAGUUCAACUUCCGCCGAGGUCGACUUUGCCUUUCAUCCUUUUGGGUCGAUAAAUUAAGUACCAGUUGUAUAGUGGAGUCGAUCUCAUCCACUUGCCCCCUUCUCCCAAAAUUUCGGGCCUUGUACCUUGAGUAGAAACGAAUAUAUUUGGUUAAUC
Molecule: long non-coding RNA, 175 nt
Organism: Octopus sinensis (East Asian common octopus)
Lineage: Eukaryota; Metazoa; Mollusca; Cephalopoda; Octopoda; Octopodidae
Exons: 3
Source: RefSeq, a predicted model, not a curated record